Molecule: ribosomal RNA, 374 nt
Filed under: uncultured prokaryote
Description: bacterial SSU rRNA
Rfam family: Bacterial small subunit ribosomal RNA
Source: RNAcentral
UACAGAGGUCCCAAGCGUUGUUCGGAAUUACUGGGCGUAAAGGGUGCGUAGGCGGUUAAGUAAGUCUGGUGUAAAAGCUCGGAGCCUAACUCCGAAACAGCACUGGAUACUAUUUAGCUAGAGGAUUGGAGGGGGGACUGGAAUUCUCGGUGUAGCAGUGAAAUGCGUAGAUAUCGAGAGGAACACCAGCGGCGAAGGCGAGUCCCUAGACAAUUCCUGACGCUGAGGCACGAAAGCCAGGGGAGCAAACGGGAUUAGAUACCCCGGUAGUCCUGGCCCUAAACUGUGCAUGUUUGCUGUAAGAAGAUUCGACCCUUCUUGUGGCGAAGCUAACGCGUUAAACAUGCCGCCUGGGAAGUACGGCCGCAAGGCUA